GAUGAACGCUGGCGGCGUGCCUAAUACAUGCAAGUCGAGCGACCAGACGAGGAGCUUGCUCCUCUGACGUUAGCGGCGGACGGGUGAGUAACACGUGGAUAACCUACCUAUAAUACUGGGAUAACUUCGGGAAACCGGAGCUAAUACCGGAUAAUAUAUUGAACCGCAUGGUUCAAUAGUGAAAGACGGUUUUGCUGUCACUUAUAGAUGGAUCCGCGCCGCAUUAGCUAGUUGGUAAGGUAACGGCUUACCAAGGCAACGAUGCGUAGCCGACCUGAGAGGGUGAUCGGCCACACUGGAACUGAGACACGGUCCAGACUCCUACGGGAGGCAGCAGUAGGGAAUCUUCCGCAAUGGGCGAAAGCCUGACGGAGCAACGCCGCGUGAGUGAUGAAGGUCUUCGGAUCGUAAAACUCUGUUAUUAGGGAAGAACAAAUGUGUAAGUAACUAUGCACGUCUUGACGGUACCUAAUCAGAAAGCCACGGCUAACUACGUG
This 497-nucleotide ribosomal RNA is filed under the name uncultured bacterium. RNAcentral's name for it is "partial 16S ribosomal RNA". It matches the Rfam family "Bacterial small subunit ribosomal RNA", at positions 28 to 507 of the family's 1533-position model. The record is from RNAcentral.